Molecule: long non-coding RNA, 1072 nt
Organism: Herpailurus yagouaroundi (jaguarundi)
Lineage: Eukaryota; Metazoa; Chordata; Mammalia; Carnivora; Felidae
Exons: 5
Source: RefSeq, a predicted model, not a curated record
UGUCUCCUCCCUCUCUCUCUGCCCCUCCCCUGCUCGUGCUCUGUCUCUCUCAAAAAUGAAUAAACAUUUAAAAAAAUUUAAAAAUAAAAAGAGAUUGCAGACAUGAUAGAGUGUCUAGAAGAGACUAUGUCGGGCAGAAUUGACCUUAACAAAAGUUAGGUCUUUCCUCUUCAAAUGUAUUGGUUCUCAAACCUAACAUGCACAGAAUAACCUGAUGAGCUUGUUUAACAUGCACUGUCCCAAACUUUUCUUCCAAGGCCCAGGGGUAUUCACCUCUGUCACACAUCUCAGAACACCCUGAUUGAUGACACACAGACCACCAUAUUUUGAGAAACAUGCCUUCAGAUUCUUGAUUUCCAUCGCUUCAUUCUGCCCUUUACUUGAGAGCCAAUAGGAUCCUUCAUGAAGCAACCAGGUGAUUUUUUUCUACAAGAACUCCUUACCAUAAGAGGUAUAUGACCUCCUUCUAUUCUGUUGGCAGCAUCCAUUUGCCUCAGUUCUUUCUAUCCAGGGCAGAUUUGAAAAACACAGAUAACCACUGUCUGAUUCAAGAACCGUGAAAAACUCCAGAUCACACAGCUCUGACGAUGGGAUAAUAAUUUAAGGAAGCAGGUGGCAUGAUCGAUGAAUUAAAGCUUCCCUGGAACCAACACAAGGCAAAUGACUACAGGAACAACUUCCCAGCACAAUUCAGACCGGCUCAAAUGAACUUCUGCCCCCCAAACUCAACAGCCAAUCAAUCCUAGGUAAGGUUUAUACAAAGCCACACAACAAAUGUAACCAAGCACAUGCCUUUUAUAAGAUUACUUUAAAACAACAGGACCGACUUGAGAGCACAAUUUGCCCAUCAUUCGUUGUACACGGUGUUUUCUUAGGGCACACAUUCCAUGAUCACAGUGACCAGAAUGGUUUUCAGUAACCUAAAACAAUAGGACCACAUUCCCAAGUGGAAAUUCUACAAAAACACUUACAGAUCCUUUUAAGUCUCUUCGUUAUUUUUGUCCACCAAAAGCCACAUAUUCCAUCACAAUGAAUUAACUUUAUUUGAUCAAAAAUACUGGAAAAAAUUAAU